Molecule: ribosomal RNA, 371 nt
Filed under: uncultured organism
Description: bacterial SSU rRNA
Rfam family: Bacterial small subunit ribosomal RNA
Source: RNAcentral
CAGAGGGUGCGAGCGUUAAUCGGAAUUACUGGGCGUAAAGCGUGCGUAGACGGUUAUUUAAGUCGGGUGUGAAAGCCCCGGGCUCAACCUGGGAAUUGCAUUCGAGACUGAAUAGCUAGGGUACGGUAGAGGGAAGCGGAAUUUCCGGUGUAGCGGCGAAAUGCGUAGAUAUCGGAAGGAACAUCAGUGGCGAAAGCGGCUUCCUGGACCAGUACCGACGUUCAGGCACGAAAGCGUGGGGAGCAAACAGGAUUAGAUACCCUGGUAGUCCACGCCAUAAACGAUGAGGACUAGACGUUGGAGGGGUAAGCCUUUCAGUGUCGUAGCUAACGCGCUAAGUCCUCCGCCUGGGGAGUACGGCCGCAAGGUUG